RNAcentral lists this long non-coding RNA (329 nucleotides) under Gallus gallus (chicken). The record is from RNAcentral. Lineage: Eukaryota; Metazoa; Chordata; Aves; Galliformes; Phasianidae.
GUGACUGACAAACAAAAUGGUGGAGAAGGGGAAGUGAGGAGGAAGGCGGGCUGUACAGCCAGCCGUCCUCAGCAGACAACCCCUUGGGUUCUGCCUUCUCUUCUGGCACACUUCCUUGCUCCUCAGGGUCUUCAAGAGGCUUUUGGCCUGUGCUGCAGACCAAGGGGUUCCCCUCUCUCUUCUGGAUGGUUUCCCUGUGGCUUCCUGAAGUGCUUCCCUUGCUCCCGACCCCUUUGGGCACCCCUUCUGAUUCUCCCCACUGAGGCACCAUUCCACUUUCUUCCAGCCACACCCAUCUCCUGCAGCCUCUCCUUCGUAUUUGUGAUCCC